AUUUUCUUAAAACAGUUUGGAGAAAUAAUGCUUCAGGAAGAAGAAAGUCUCUCCAUCACAUAGUUGGAGGUCAUAAAGGAAAGACGGUUCGCGUGAAGCGGCUGUAAGGACACACUCAAACAUAGUUAGGUGUUAACCUGCACUCGACAUGAGAUAUUGACAACAUUCUCUGCUUUGGCUACGCCUCUACAGCUUCUCACUUUGUAAAUGAGUGAAAUGAAAGUCUGUUUUCUGGAGACUCUUCAUGGUUUUUACAUUGAGUGGAUCUGAUUGAACGUCUCGUGUCUUGAGUUUGGAAAUUGAUUGAACCAGCGAUGUUCUGCUCACAUGUUGUGCCGUGUUUCUGUUUAGGCAGGUGGACAGUGAAGUGCAGUUUUGUGUUCCACUUAAUCCACAAUGCUACAUGAAUCAGACAGAAGGAUGUUUAGAUUGGUCUAAGAUAAGAAGUUCAAUACAUUGAUGACAAACGGCCUCCUCAUGGAAACAUAUAGACACUAUUGUAAUUCAGUUAUUAUAAUAUUUAAAAACUACAUUCAUAAAGAAAUAUAAUUGCCAAAAAAUAAAUAUUGCAGAUUUUUUAGAUAAUUAAGUGGGACUGUGUGGCUCUUACGAAACUAGACGAAAUGGCUCUUUUCAUGUUAAAGGUUGCAGACUGCUGGUCCAGUUUUACAAAACUAGAUUAUUAAAGUAUUUAAGAUCACAUUUUUGCUGAUCUUUAAUAUUUUUUCAGCUUUUGUUUAAGUUCUUUUAGUUUGAGGACAGAUUUGGAACAAACUUCAACAGCUUGAAGAUAAAUAUUAAAUAAUUAAAUAUAAAGUAAAUGGUGAUGCGAGCUUGAACAGAAACACGACUGGAGAACUCAAACAAAUUAAAAGCAACAUAAAUGAAAUCUUAGACUUAAGUAGACACAAGCUGUGAUCAGAAACAGGAUGCAGCUGUGAGGAUUUCAAAGUAAAAGCAGCUGUGAUGUAAAAUGGGAAAAAUCCGGAACAUGGCGUGAACAUCUGAGAAUGUUAGAACAACAAAAUACAACAAACCAAACAGGAUCAAAACAUUUCCUUUGGAACAAAAUCCAGAAGAGACACAGAACAUUUCCAGGCCUUAUUAACCCUUAGUAGUCUGGGAACUUUGGGGGAUUUUUUUAAAACUACUUUACAUCUAGGUAAUUUAUUUUUAAAAUUACUUUUACAGCUUGGUUUUAAUGUUUGAUUUCUUUUUUAGCUUUAUUUUUUUCUAUAUGUAUUUUAUAUUUUAUUUUAGACAAUGAUUCCACUCUAAAGCUCAAACUUUCCAAAAAACUCAAUUCUAAGGAGUAAAUUUAGUCAUUAUCUUUUACUGCAAAAAUCACUUAAAUAAACAAGCAGUUUUUACAUUUUAUAUUAAACACUCAUGUUGAUUUAAAACAAAAAAUUUCUAAACUAAAAACCAAAAAAUAAAAA
Long non-coding RNA from Oryzias melastigma (Indian medaka), 1439 nucleotides. RefSeq lists it as uncharacterized. The record is from RefSeq and is a predicted model, not a curated record. NCBI's taxonomy places the organism in Eukaryota, Metazoa, Chordata, Actinopteri, Beloniformes, Adrianichthyidae. The transcript has 2 exons.